AGUGAACGCUGGCGGCAGGCCUAACACAUGCAAGUCGAACGAACCUUUCGGGGUUAGUGGCGGACGGGUGAGUAACACGUGGGAACGUGCCUUUAGGUUCGGAAUAACUCAGGGAAACUUGUGCUAAUACCGAAUGUGCCCUUCGGGGGAAAGAUUUAUCGCCUUUAGAGCGGCCCGCGUCUGAUUAGCUAGUUGGUUGAGGUAAUGGCUCACCAAGGCGACGAUCAGUAGCUGGUCUGAGAGGAUGAUCAGCCACAUUGGGACUGAGACACGGCCCAAACUCCUACGGGAGGCAGCAGUGGGGAAUCUUGCGCAAUGGGCGAAAGCCUGACGCAGCCAUGCCGCGUGAAUGAUGAAGGUCUUAGGAUUGUAAAAUUCUUUCACCGGGGACGAUAAUGACGGUACCCGGAGAAGAAGCCCCGGCUAACUUCGUG
This 434-nucleotide ribosomal RNA is filed under the name uncultured bacterium. RNAcentral's name for it is "partial 16S ribosomal RNA". It matches the Rfam family "Bacterial small subunit ribosomal RNA", at positions 29 to 507 of the family's 1533-position model. The record is from RNAcentral.